UACGGGGGGGGCAAGCGUUGUUCGGAAUUACUGGGCGUAAAGGGCUCGUAGGCGGCCAACUAAGUCAGACGUGAAAUCCUUAGGCUCAACCUAGGAACUGCGUCUGAUACUGGAUGGCUUGAAUCCGGGAGAGGGAUGCAGAAUUCCAGGUGUAGCGGUGAAAUGCGUAGAUAUCUGGAGGAAUACCGGUGGCGAAGGCGGCAUCCUGGACCGGCAUUGACGCUGAGGAGCGAAAGCCAGGGGAGCAAACGGG
RNAcentral lists this ribosomal RNA (253 nucleotides) under uncultured bacterium. RNAcentral describes it as "partial 16S ribosomal RNA". It matches the Rfam family "Bacterial small subunit ribosomal RNA", at positions 524 to 776 of the family's 1533-position model. The record is from RNAcentral.